ACUGACACUGACACUGAGGUGCGAAAGCGUGGGUAGCAAACAGGAUUAGAUACCCUGGUAGUCCACGCCGUAAACGAUGUCGACCAGCCGUUGGGUGCCUAGCGCACUUUGUGGCGAAGUUAACGCGAUAAGUCGACCGCCUGGGGAGUACGGCCGCAAGGUUAAAACUCAAAUGAAUUGACGGGGGCCCGCACAAGCGGUGGAGCAUGUGGCUUAAUUCGAUGCAACGCGAAGAACCUUACCUACCCUUGACAUCCUGCGAAUUUGGUAGAGAUACCUUAGUGCCUUCGGGAACGCAGAGACAGGUGCUGCAUGGCUGUCGUCAGCUCGUGUUGUGAAAUGUUGGGUUAAGUCCCGUAACGAGCGCAACCCUUGUCCUUAUUUGCCAGCGAGUAAUGUCGGGAACUCUAAGGAGACUGCCGGUGACAAACCGGAGGAAGGUGGGGACGACGUCAAGUCAUCAUGGCCCUUACGGGUAGGGCUACACACGUGCUACAAUGGCCGGUACAAAGGGCUGCGAGCUCGCGAGAGUCAGCGAAUCCCUUAAAGCCGGUCUCAGUCCGGAUCGGAGUCUGCAACUCGACUCCGUGAAGUCGGAAUCGCUAGUAAUCGUGAAUCAGAAUGUCACGGUGAAUACGUUCCCGGGCCUUGUACACACCGCCCGUCACACCAUGGGAGUGGACUGCACCAGAAGUGGUUAGCCUAACGCAAGAGGGCGAUCACCACGGUGUGGUUCAUGACUGGGGUGAAGUCGUAACAAGGUAACCA
Molecule: ribosomal RNA, 768 nt
Filed under: uncultured bacterium
Lineage: Bacteria
Description: bacterial SSU rRNA
Rfam family: Bacterial small subunit ribosomal RNA
Source: RNAcentral